UCAUACGGGAGGCAGCAGUGGGGAAUAUUGCACAAUGGGGGAAACCCUGAUGCAGCCAUGCCGCGUGUGUGAAGAAGGCCUUCGGGUUGUAAAGCACUUUCAGUUGUGAGGAAAAGUUAGUAGUUAAUACCUGCUAGCCGUGACGUUAACAACAGAAGAAGCACCGGCUAACUCCGUGCCAGCAGCCGCGGUAAUACGGAGGGUGCGAGCGUUAAUCGGAAUUACUGGGCGUAAAGCGCACGCAGGCGGUUUGUUAAGCUAGAUGUGAAAGCCCCGGGCUCAACCUGGGAUGGUCAUUUAGAACUGGCAGACUAGAGUCUUGGAGAGGGGAGUGGAAUUCCAGGUGUAGCGGUGAAAUGCGUAGAUAUCUGGAGGAACAUCAGUGGCGAAGGCGACUCCCUGGCCAAAGACUGACGCUCAUGUGCGAAAGUGUGGGUAGCGAACAGGAUUAAAUACCCUGGUAGUCCACACCGUAAACGCUGCCUACUAACUGUGUGUGUCUUUUAAAAGUGCGUAACGAAACUUAAGCGCUAAGUAAACCGCCU
RNAcentral lists this ribosomal RNA (545 nucleotides) under bacterium A3S_VP8_G4. Its description in RNAcentral is "bacterial SSU rRNA". It matches the Rfam family "Bacterial small subunit ribosomal RNA", at positions 337 to 874 of the family's 1533-position model. The record is from RNAcentral.